ACAACACGUUCUCUCUCAAAUUAUCUAAUUAAUUAAUAAAUUAAAUUAAAAUAUUUUUUCUCCCCUUGUUCAUCAGCCAGUCACCAAAUUCUACUGAUUUAGGGUCCAAAAUUUCUCUCAGAUUGAGCCCUCUUGUUUCCAUCCUCAUCUCCAUCUCCGGAAUCCAGACCUUCAUGGCCACUUGCCUGAACUGUUUUUAUAGCCCUCUGAUUCCUCUUCCUUCUGAUUCUGGUGCCUUCCCUCCCCAAUCAUUCUACACAUUGCUGCCAGAAUUAUCUUCCUGACAGUGUGACUUCUGUAAAUCUUUGAUACAGUGUCACUUGUUUAAUGUGUUCAUUUAAGGGCCAUCUUAUAGGUGCUCAUUAGGUACUAGGAGUAACUGGAGGCCCUGUGGACAUAAAUAUAAAGAAGACCCAGUGCUGAUGGAGAUGGUGGCUUACCAAGACAUAAACAGGAGUCUCACACAUCAUAUGUGCUUUCACCAUGAAGAUAAGGAAACGAUUUGCCAACCCUCAUUUAAUCCGAAAGUAGACUCUGUGUGAUUUUUUGAAAAUUUAUUUAUUUGUGAGAGACAGAAGGAGGCAGAGACACACAGGCAG
Canis lupus familiaris (dog) is the source of this 599-nucleotide long non-coding RNA. RefSeq lists it as uncharacterized. The transcript has 3 exons. The record is from RefSeq and is a predicted model, not a curated record. Lineage: Eukaryota; Metazoa; Chordata; Mammalia; Carnivora; Canidae.